This 73-nucleotide transfer RNA is filed under the name Anolis argenteolus. Its description in RNAcentral is "tRNA-Asx". Lineage: Eukaryota; Metazoa; Chordata; Lepidosauria; Squamata; Anolidae. The record is from RNAcentral.
CAGAUAGAAGCCCGCUGGUUUGGGUAAUUAGCUUUUAACUAGUUUAUUUUGGGAUCGAGGCCCCCCUAUUUAG